This 888-nucleotide ribosomal RNA is filed under the name Subtercola sp. CNRA06. Its description in RNAcentral is "bacterial SSU rRNA". It matches the Rfam family "Bacterial small subunit ribosomal RNA", at positions 94 to 988 of the family's 1533-position model. Lineage: Bacteria; Bacillati; Actinomycetota; Actinomycetes; Micrococcales; Microbacteriaceae. The record is from RNAcentral.
AGUGGCGAACGGGUGAGUAACACGUGAGUAACCUGCCCUUGACUCUGGGAUAAGCGUUGGAAACGACGUCUAAUACCGGAUACGACAACCGAUCGCAUGGUCUGGUUGUGGAAAGAUUUUUUGGUCAAGGAUGGACUCGCGGCCUAUCAGGUUGUUGGUGAGGUAAUGGCUCACCAAGCCUACGACGGGUAGCCGGCCUGAGAGGGUGACCGGCCACACUGGGACUGAGACACGGCCCAGACUCCUACGGGAGGCAGCAGUGGGGAAUAUUGCACAAUGGGCGAAAGCCUGAUGCAGCAACGCCGCGUGAGGGAUGACGGCCUUCGGGUUGUAAACCUCUUUUAGUAAGGAAGAAGAACUUCGGUUUGACGGUACUUGCAGAAAAAGCACCGGCUAACUACGUGCCAGCAGCCGCGGUAAUACGUAGGGUGCAAGCGUUGUCCGGAAUUAUUGGGCGUAAAGAGCUCGUAGGCGGUUUGUCGCGUCUGCUGUGAAAUCUGGAGGCUCAACCUCCAGCCUGCAGUGGGUACGGGCAGACUAGAGUGCGGUAGGGGAGAUUGGAAUUCCUGGUGUAGCGGUGGAAUGCGCAGAUAUCAGGAGGAACACCGAUGGCGAAGGCAGAUCUCUGGGCCGUAACUGACGCUGAGGAGCGAAAGCAUGGGGAGCGAACAGGAUUAGAUACCCUGGUAGUCCAUGCCGUAAACGUUGGGAACUAGAUGUAGGGACCAUUCCACGGUUUCUGUGUCGCAGCUAACGCAUUAAGUUCCCCGCCUGGGGGAGUACGGCCGCAAGGCUAAAACUCAAAGGAAUUGACGGGGGCCCGCACAAGCGGCGGAGCAUGCGGAUUAAUUCGAUGCAACGCGAAGAACCUUACCAAGGCUUGACAUA